This 816-nucleotide ribosomal RNA is filed under the name Triticum aestivum (bread wheat). RNAcentral describes it as "partial small subunit ribosomal RNA". Lineage: Eukaryota; Viridiplantae; Streptophyta; Magnoliopsida; Poales; Poaceae. The record is from RNAcentral.
AUGCUCGUCUCUUUAGAGGAUCUAGAGAAGGCUACCAACAAUUUCGAUCAAGCUCGUAGGCUCGGCGGUGGAGGGCAUGGCACUGUCUACAAAGGGAUCUUGUCGGACCUGCAUGUGGUGGCCAUCAAAAAGUCAAAUAUUGUUGUCAGGAGAGAAAUCGACGGGUUCAUAAAUGAGGUUGCUAUACUCUCACAGAUCAACCAUAGAAAUAUUGUAAAGCUUCGUGGUUGUUGCCUCGAGACGGAAGUCCCUUUAUUGGCCUAUGAGUUCAUUUCCAAUGGAACACUCAGUGACCAUCUUCACACGGAAGAACCAAGAUCACUACCUUGGAAAGAGAGAUUAAGGAUCACAAGUGAAAUAGGCAAAGCUCUGGCUUACCUUCACUCGGCUGUUUCAAUCCCUGUAAUACACAGAGAUAUUAAGCCUUCCAACAUACUACUUGACGAUGCAUUGACAGUGACAGUGUCAGAUUUUGGAGCGUCAAGGUACGUUCCCGUGGAUCAAACUGGAACAACAACCGCGGUGCAAGGAACUAUAGGGUACUUAGACCCUAUGUAUUAUUAUACUGGAAACCUAACGGAAAGUAGUGAUGUUUAUAGUUUUGGUGUCCUUCUUGUUGAAUUGCUUACUAGGAGGAAGCCAUGUUUGUAUAGAUCCAUCGAAGGAAAUGGGCUUGUCAUGGAAUUUUGUAGACUACUUGCAGAAGGCAAUCUCUCCAAAGUACUAGAUCCACAGGUUGUAGAGGAGGGAGGUAUUAAAGUUGAAGAAGUAGCUACUCUAGCAGUGUCAUGUGUGAAACUGAGAGCAGAGGAGUGA